GUAAGGAAUAUUGGACAAUGGACGCAAGUCUGAUCCAGCCAUGCCGCGUGAAGGAUUAAGGUCCUCUGGAUUGUAAACUUCUUUUAUAAGGGACGAAAAAAGGCUUUUCUAAGUCGUCUGACGGUACCUUAUGAAUAAGCACCGGCUAACUCCGUGCCAGCAGCCGCGGUAAUACGGAGGGUGCAAGCGUUAUCCGGAUUCACUGGGUUUAAAGGGUGCGUAGGCGGGCAGGUAAGUCAGUGGUGAAAUCCUAGAGCUUAACUCUAGAACUGCCAUUGAUACUAUCUGUCUUGAAUAUUGUGGAGGUAAGCGGAAUAUGUCAUGUAGCGGUGAAAUGCUUAGAUAUGACAUAGAACACCUAUUGCGAAGGCAGCUUACUACGCAUAUAUUGACGCUGAGGCACGAAAGCGUGGGGAUCAAACAGGAUUAGAUACCCCUGUAGUCC
RNAcentral lists this ribosomal RNA (445 nucleotides) under uncultured bacterium. RNAcentral describes it as "bacterial SSU rRNA". It matches the Rfam family "Bacterial small subunit ribosomal RNA", at positions 354 to 796 of the family's 1533-position model. The record is from RNAcentral.